AGGGAAGACAUUCCUGAAGACUCUCUAUGA
RNAcentral lists this non-coding RNA (30 nucleotides) under Rattus norvegicus (Norway rat). The record is from RNAcentral. Lineage: Eukaryota; Metazoa; Chordata; Mammalia; Rodentia; Muridae.